GCACCUGUAACUCAGUGGAUAGAGUACUCGGCUACGAACCGAACGGUCGGAGGUUCGAAUCCUCCCAGGUGUA
This 73-nucleotide transfer RNA is filed under the name Enterobacteriaceae endosymbiont of Neohaemonia nigricornis. RNAcentral's name for it is "tRNA-Arg". It matches the Rfam family "tRNA". Rfam says of the family: Transfer RNA (tRNA) molecules are approximately 80 nucleotides in length. Lineage: Bacteria; Pseudomonadati; Pseudomonadota; Gammaproteobacteria; Enterobacterales; Enterobacteriaceae. The record is from RNAcentral.